AUGGCUAAGAAAACCUACGACUUACUGUUCAAACUUCUCUUAAUCGGAGAUUCUGGUGUAGGCAAAACAUGUAUAUUGUUCAGAUUUUCUGAUAACCAUUUCACAACUACAUUUAUAUCGACAAUCGGUAUAGAUUUUAAAAUCAAAACAGUGGAGCUAAGAGGAAAGAAAAUAAAGCUUCAAAUAUGGGACACUGCGGGACAGGAGCGCUUCCACACCAUCACCACAUCAUACUACCGUGGUGCUAUGGGCAUCAUGUUAGUGUAUGAUAUAACUAAUGAAAAAACAUUUGAUGAUAUUGUUAAAUGGUUAAGAAAUAUAGAUGAGCAUGCAAAUGAAGAUGUGGAAAAGAUGAUACUUGGAAAUAAAUGUGACAUGGAGGAAAAAAGAGUUGUUAGCAAAGAGCGCGGGGAGGCUAUAGCCCGCGAGCACGGCAUCCGCUUCAUGGAGACGUCGGCGAAAUCGAAUAUAAACAUCGACCGCGCGUUCUCGGAGCUGGCCGAGGCGAUCCUCGACAAGACGGCGGGGCGCGAGGCGGACGCGGACCACGCGCGCAUCGCGGUCGAGCGCCGGCCCUCGCGCGCGCCGCCCGCCCGCGCCUGCUGCUCCUAGGCGCGUGUUGUCGCGUGUCGUCGCGUGUUGCCGCGUGUUGCCGCGUGUCGCCGCGCGCCUCGAGGCCUGUAUGUUACUUUCGGAUGUCGAGUCAUUUCUUUUUAUAAUGCGGUUGUUAGGUGUAGAAUUGUGAAGCGGUGUUUGGGGUCGUACCCUUUUAAGUAAAAAAUUUUUUGGCCUGUAUUUCGAUUUUUUAAUAGAUCUAUUACAAACUUAACUUACACAUGUGUGAUUUUAUUAAAUCAUUUUUUCAAUGGAAACGUUUUUUUAUUAAUUUUAAGCUUGAAUUGUUUCGUUUUUAAAAUAAGUACGGAUACAGGUCUCCAUCUAUAGACAAGCAAUAGGAUUGUAGCAAUUUUUUAAAUCGAUAAUAAUAUAAAUAUAUAAUGCAUAGUACGUACAUUGUAACCCAUAAACUAUAAUAUGUAAAAAUGCCUUUAAAAGCUAUCUCACUACGGCAGAGGUAUAUUAUGUGUAGUUUUAAUAUUGUUUAGAAUUUUAUAGUUCUCGGGGGCUUGUAGAUCGUCCUAGAAAUAAUUUUGAUUAUUAUUAAUAUAUUUCUGCCAUUUUAGAUAGAUACCUAGUAAUUUUGACUGUUUUAUCAAUAUAAUAAAUAUAUUAAAUACAAAGCUACAAUGUUCAUAGUUUGUAUGUUUGUAAAUUUUUUAACGAGCAACAUGCUGGUGUCGCCAUUUUUUCAAAUGAUCAUACUAUGAGACUCGAAAUUGCAUGUAUAUGUCAACUUUUAUAGGGGGCAUUAUAAUAUAUAUUGCUAAUAGUUGAUCUGUAUAACAUAAUAUAUCAAUAUAUUUAAAGCUCGGAUCCUAUAUUUAAUCUAUCGAAAUAUAAUUUGCAGGUAAAAUGCUAAAGAAACGUACUACGUAAUGCACUAUUUACAUAUUUUGUUUCCAUCAAAAAUUGUGUCAAAUUAGCUCAAGAGUAAACUUUUCCACGCAAAAAAUCAAUUAUAAAUACACAUAGAUUGAAUAUAGGUACCGGUCAAAAGUCGCGCGGUAAUCAUCUCUGGCCGGGCGACUCUGUGCAAUAUGACAGUUGACACAUUGUCUAGUGAACACGCGGCCUUAGCGUGUUGCUAUAACAUACGUCAAGCGAUCCGCGCUCGAAAACUAAGUGAUUGUUAUUGAGAUUACAGUGUUAUAUGUAAAUGGAUCUCAUCAUUUUCGAGUGCGCUUGUAACUACAGCAUAUCAUCAGAGAGGAGUGGAACGUGUUAGGGGUCGUGCAAAUGUGUGCAUGCAAUAUUUUCACGCACACAUUUGUUGAAGUUGGUUGGUUUUUUUCUGGGUUCGUACUGACUGUGUAUGUUUCAGUCACAACUCAUAACUAGUCGAAACCAUUUUUUUGUGCAACAAUCAGUCAAAUGUGGUUUUGAUCAAUGCCAUCAGUUACAAAACACUUUUGAUUGAUUUUAUGGCUUUGAGUUUGAUUGAACAUACUAAAGUUUUACAGUUAAGUUAGUUGUGUGUUUGUAUGAACUCAAGUGACGUGUGUGACGCGAUUAUAACGUGUUAUAAACGACAUCACGCGUCACACCAUCAGCUGGCGAUUUAUAGGAUUUCCUCAACCAUACAAGAUAGAAUAUAAAUGUGGCAAUUAAACACUUAUGAAAUGAACAUAUUUAUUUUGUUUAAAAUUUCAAAACCAAAUUUCAUGAGUACCUACGAAACCCAGAAAAUAAACUGGUACCCUCUGCGUAGUCUAAGUCUAAAUACCUAGCACAUUAUUGUUUGUAUAUCGAUGCAUGCACCUGCGCUUCGCUGUAACGGUUUAUUUAACACUACGUAACAAGUGUUUAACGGCUUCGAAAUCCUACGGCUCAAAUGUGCUUACAUGUCAAUGUUUGUUGAUAUUAUUGUUUUGUAAACCUUAACCAUUUAUCUAUAUAUAUAUCUAUCUUUAAUCCGAUUGUUCUGUCCACGCUAAGAAAUUUUGUAUUGAAAUAAAAUCAUAUAAUUUAUUGUAAGUGUUAUUAUGUAUAUUAUCCCUACUAAUAAUUACUAACGCUAUUGAGCCCUUUGUUUUUAUUUAAUUUUUUGCUAAGAAUGAAGUUCUGGAGAAGUGAAGUUUUGAAAAGAGUCGCAUGCAUUUAAUUUCAGUUAAACUCUGUAUUAUUAAAGAUUUUCAUACAACAAACCUCGUGAAAGCGCUAAUAUAUUUUAGAAAACUACCGUCAUAUCAAUUAAAAUUACGCAUUUUAUUGUUGUUAUAGUUUUUGAUUAUAACAUGAGUUUGUUUUGUCGCGUUACGGGAAAACAUCUCCUCAUUCUUUCUUAAAUGAAUUUUCAACAAAAUGCGAUCUUUAAUUU
RNAcentral lists this unclassified non-coding RNA (2938 nucleotides) under Zerene cesonia (dogface butterfly). RNAcentral's name for it is "ras-related protein Rab-10, transcript variant X2". Lineage: Eukaryota; Metazoa; Arthropoda; Insecta; Lepidoptera; Pieridae. The record is from RNAcentral.